AACGAACGCUGGCGGCAGGCUUAACACAUGCAAGUCGAGCGCAUCCUUCGGGGUGAGCGGCAGACGGGUGAGUAACGCGUGGGAAUCUACCUUUUGCUACGGAAUAGCUCCGGGAAACUGGAAUUAAUACCGUAUGUUCCCUUAGGGGGAAAGAUUUAUCGGCAAGAGAUGAGCCCGCGUUGGAUUAGCUAGUUGGUGGGGUAAAGGCCUACCAAGGCGACGAUCCAUAGCUGGUCUGAGAGGAUGAUCAGCCACAUUGGGACUGAGACACGGCCCAAACUCCUACGGGAGGCAGCAGUGGGGAAUAUUGGACAAUGGGCGCAAGCCUGAUCCAGCCAUGCCGCGUGAGUGAUGAAGGCCUUAGGGUUGUAAAGCUCUUUCACCGGAGAAGAUAAUGACGGUAUCCGGAGAAGAAGCCCCGGCUAACUUCGUG
This 433-nucleotide ribosomal RNA is filed under the name uncultured bacterium. RNAcentral describes it as "partial 16S ribosomal RNA". It matches the Rfam family "Bacterial small subunit ribosomal RNA", at positions 29 to 507 of the family's 1533-position model. The record is from RNAcentral.